AUCAUUCAAAUAGAAACAGCCGCACUUGUUCAAUUUAAGAACCCAGUUUCAUAUUCUAAAUCUUCUCAAACACUGAUGCUAGCUUGGAAACCUUCUUGAGUUCCUUUUAUUCUCUUCAUAUAUAUAUAUAUAGAUAUAUAUUCUGAAAACGGAAAAAAGACAUGUCCAAGCGUUUUGAGCUCAUUGUCUUGCUCUUGGUGUUUGUUGUCACAUCUCAACAUGCAAUCAGUGUCGAACAACCCAUCAGGCCUAUAAUACUCCAACAAUAUCCACAAAGGUAUCCGAAGAUUUUUGCUACUCUCGGAAUGGUUUGCAAGUGUUGCGAUGGUGAUAGAGGAGAAUGCGAAAGCGCAUGGGAAGGGCGUUGCUCUAAGCUCCAAUGUCUUCCAUGGAAAUAUGAUUGAUUCGUAUCAUACAAAAUUUAGAAUUUGUACUCUGGCUGUUUAUAUAUAUAUAUAUGGAUCAAUUUUUAAUGGUCAUGUGUGAUAUUUUAAAGUGAA
Long non-coding RNA from Cornus florida, 500 nucleotides. RefSeq lists it as uncharacterized. The transcript is spliced from 2 exons. The record is from RefSeq and is a predicted model, not a curated record. NCBI's taxonomy places the organism in Eukaryota, Viridiplantae, Streptophyta, Magnoliopsida, Cornales, Cornaceae.